This is a non-coding RNA of Anopheles arabiensis, 109 nucleotides long. NCBI's taxonomy places the organism in Eukaryota, Metazoa, Arthropoda, Insecta, Diptera, Culicidae. The record is from Rfam.
UGCAUCUUUGAACUCCUAUCCCAACCUCCACGUGGUGCUAGCUGGAUUAUAUUUAUUGCAGAAUUUGUUACAUUAAUUCUGCAAUUUUUAUAAACUAAUAGGGAAUAGG